Molecule: ribosomal RNA, 929 nt
Rfam family: Bacterial large subunit ribosomal RNA
GUUAUAGGAUCCAGCGACUAAGUGCAUAUGGUGGAUGCCUUGGCGAUCACAGGCGAUGAAGGACGUAGUAGCCUGCGAAAAGCUGCGGGGAGCUGGCAAACAAGCUUUGAUCCGCAGAUAUCCGAAUGGGGAAACCCACUCCGCAAGGAGUAUCCCUGACUGAAUACAUAGGUCAGUGGAAGCGAACCGGGUGAACUGAAACAUCUCAGUAGCUCGAGGAAAAGAAAUCAACCGAGAUUCCGAAAGUAGUGGCGAGCGAAAUCGGAAGAGCCUUCACGUUUUAGCAUGCAAGAUAGUCGAACGGAAUGGAAAGUCCGGCCGUAGCAGGUGAUAGCCCUGUAGACGAAAUUUUGUGUGUGGAACUAAGCGUGAGAAAAGUAGGGCGGGACACGUGAAAUCCUGUUUGAAGAUGGGGGGACCAUCCUCCAAGGCUAAAUACUCGUGAUCGACCGAUAGUGAACCAGUACCGUGAGGGAAAGGCGAAAAGAACCCCGGAAGGGGAGUGAAAUAGAUCCUGAAACCGUAUGCAUACAAACAGUAGGAGCCUCCUUGUGGGGUGACUGCGUACCUUUUGUAUAAUGGGUCAGCGACUUACAUUCAGUGGCAAGGUUAACCGAAUAGGGAAGCCGUAGCGAAAGCGAGUCCGAAUAGGGCGAUUCAGUCGCUGGGUGUAGACCCGAAACCAGAUGAUCUAUCCAUGGCCAGGUUGAAGGCACGGUAACACGUGCUGGAGGACCGAACCCACUAAUGUUGAAAAAUUAGGGGAUGAGCUGUGGAUAGGGGUGAAAGGCUAAACAAAUCUGGAAAUAGCUGGUUCUCUCCGAAAACUAUUUAGGUAGUGCCUCAAGUAUUACUGCGGGGGGUAGAGAACUGUUAUAGCUAGGGGGUCAUGGCGAUUUACGAAACUAUGGCAAACUCCGAAUACCUGC